GGCCGCUCUAGACUAGUGGAUCCCCCGGGCUGCAGCCCAAUGUGGAAUUCGCCCUUCGCCCGCCGCGCGCGGCGGGCGGGGCGGGGGCACGGGGGGCCUACGGGAGGCAGCAGUGGGGAAUAUUGCACAAUGGGCGCAAGCCUGAUGCAGCGACGCCGCGUGAGGGAUGGAGGCCUUCGGGUUGUAAA
Molecule: ribosomal RNA, 188 nt
Filed under: uncultured Bifidobacterium sp.
Lineage: Bacteria; Bacillati; Actinomycetota; Actinomycetes; Bifidobacteriales; Bifidobacteriaceae
Description: partial 16S ribosomal RNA
Rfam family: Bacterial small subunit ribosomal RNA
Source: RNAcentral